Molecule: ribosomal RNA, 429 nt
Filed under: bacterium
Lineage: Bacteria
Description: partial 16S ribosomal RNA
Rfam family: Bacterial small subunit ribosomal RNA
Source: RNAcentral
UAGGGAAUCUUCGGCAAUGGGGGCAACCCUGACCGAGCAACGCCGCGUGAGUGAAGAAGGUCUUCGGAUCGUAAAGCUCUGUUGUAAGUCAAGAACGGGUGUGAGAGUGGAAAGUUCACACUGUGACGGUAGCUUACCAGAAAGGGACGGCUAACUACGUGCCAGCAGCCGCGGUAAUACGUAGGUCCCGAGCGUUGUCCGGAUUUAUUGGGCGUAAAGCGAGCGCAGGCGGUUUGAUAAGUCUGAAGUUAAAGGCUGUGGCUCAACCAUAGUUCGCUUUGGAAACUGUCAAACUUGAGUGCAGAAGGGGAGAGUGGAAUUCCAUGUGUAGCGGUGAAAUGCGUAGAUAUAUGGAGGAACACCGGUGGCGAAAGCGGCUCUCUGGUCUGUAACUGACGCUGAGGCUCGAAAGCGUGGGGAGCGAACAGG